RNAcentral lists this ribosomal RNA (473 nucleotides) under uncultured Desulfovibrio sp. RNAcentral's name for it is "bacterial SSU rRNA". It matches the Rfam family "Bacterial small subunit ribosomal RNA", at positions 916 to 1381 of the family's 1533-position model. The record is from RNAcentral. Lineage: Bacteria; Pseudomonadati; Thermodesulfobacteriota; Desulfovibrionia; Desulfovibrionales; Desulfovibrionaceae.
GACGGGGCCCGCACAAGCGGUGGAGUAUGUGGUUUAAUUCGACGCAACGCGCAGAACCUUACCUAGACUUGACAUCCCGGGGAUUUUCCGGAAACAGAGAAGUGCUUUAGCAAUAAAGAACCCGGUGACAGGUGCUGCAUGGCUGUCGUCAGCUCGUGUCGUGAGAUGUUGGGUUAAGUCCCGCAACGAGCGCAACCCUCGCCUUUAGUUGCCAGCAUUCAGUUGGGCACUCUAGAGGGACUGCCGGUGUCAAACCGGAGGAAGGUGGGAUGACGUCAAGUCCUCAUGGCCUUUAUGUCUAGGGCUACACACGUACUACAAUGGCCGGUACAAAGGGCAGCCACUCAGCGAUGAGGCGCUAAUCCCAUAAAGCCGGUCUCAGUCCGGAUCGCAGUCUGCAACUCGACUGCGUGAAGUUGGAAUCGCUAGUAAUCGUAGAUCAGCAUGCUACGGUGAAUACGUUCCCGGGCCUU